Pyrus x bretschneideri (Chinese white pear) is the source of this 1750-nucleotide RNA transcript. It is a transcript of the gene named protein Abitram-like, with no coding region annotated. Lineage: Eukaryota; Viridiplantae; Streptophyta; Magnoliopsida; Rosales; Rosaceae. The transcript is spliced from 6 exons. The record is from RefSeq and is a predicted model, not a curated record.
UUCUCCCCCCUUUCUGUAAAUUCUGAAUUUAAUUGGCUGCUUUUGUAUUAAUAUUUUUUUUGGGUAGCGUAGAAUAUAAAAUAUAAGUAUAGGCUUUCUUCCAAUAUAAACUCUCCGGGCAAGAAUAAUAUAUUGAUUCAUAUAUAACUUCAUACAUAACUUUGCUGCUUGUUAGAAAUUCCAAUUAAUGGAAAAGUUAAUCUCUUUUAGUAUUGUUUUGGAUUUUCUGAGAUUUUAUUUAGUGAAAAACCCAAACUUUUCCGCAAUGCUUCCUAACUUUCGCCUCAAUUCAGCAGCUAAUAUAGUUGUGCAUAUGUAACCGCAUUGGCAUUUUAAAAGUAUCAGUGCAGUUGAAGAAGAAAUCAUCAGUAAAAAGGAAAAUAAAAUCUACCCUAUCACUAGAUAAUGAUACUUUGAGACAUCAUUCAUUUUUAGAACAACAACAAACAACAACAACAAAGCCUUAUCUCACUAAGUCGAUCGGCUGUAUAAUCCUAGAACGCUACUGUGUUUGAUUUUGCGCCAAGUCUUCCAUUAACUCAGUGCUUCAUAUCUUUCACUUUUCAAAAGGUAAGAUGAAAAUUUGUGUUUAUUUUUUGUAAGUAAAUUUGUGCAAUCCUAUAUACCCCUUUCACUUUAGUUGCAUGUGAUUUGAGUUCUGGGUUAUUAAUGUUGAGUUACAAGGCUAAAAUUUUUUCUUCAUGUUUUCUUGUUAUUAAGACAAUCGAUUGCAGUUUUAGUAUGGGCUCUGUUAUUGUUAAUCGUAAUCUGAUAGUUAUAAUGCAAACUGAAGUAGUAGUUAGGCAGAUGCCAGAAUCUCUUAAUCUCAUUUUUCUUUGCCGUGCUGGAUUGAAAUGAACGAAUACAUCGGUGAUGAAACAAACCAUGCACAAGAACAAAAGGAACAUGAAAUAGAAGACCCUGAGCUGCUUAAGCUUAUUUUACCGAAUGCUGAAGAUCUGCCUCUCAUCCCUCCCUCUUCUGUUGAAUCCAACUUCGUCUCUUAUUUCGCUCCAGAUUUUAUGAAGCCAAGACAUGACCAGUACAUUUAUCGCCACGCCAAUGGAUUGUGUGUGAUUGGCUUGGCUCCAACACUUGUGGCUCUGAAGGAAGAAGGGGGUAUCACGGCCAUUGAUUUCAAUGUUGGGAAAUCUGAUCGGAGUGGGAUAAAGGUUACUGGAAAGCGCAAGAAGAAUGCACAACACUUGGAAUCCAACUCAGCCUUGUGUAAAGUUUGCACCAAUGAUGCUACUUAUAUUGUGAGUCUUUUGACCGGUGUUGCGUAAAAGGUUCACUAUUGGAAGUGAAUGGUAGAUUAACCAAGCAGCCAGAUUUGCUUAAUUCAGCAGUAAGAAUCAGCAGAUAGAGAAGGAUAUAUUGCCAUUAUCAUGCCAAAGCCAGCAGAUUGGCUCAAAGUCAAGGAUUCGCUGUUAAGCCAUGAAGAUUACAAAAAGUUGAGGGAAGUUUCUUGACUCGUUCUGAAGUUUGCAAAUUGCGCACUUUCAUCACUGAUCCUGGAUGAAAAAGAGAAAACAUUGAAAUCUGCCGUCUCAUCAUGGUGCACACGAGAUUACCCAUCACUUAUUCCUUGCUUGCAAGUGACACAGCUUGAUGUCUUAUUGCUUUUGGCAGUUACAACGCAUACAAGUGGUACAUGUUCUCCCCUGCUUCUGUAUCAUGUAUACCAUCAAAUUUGUAUCAUUUCAGAAAAUAUGAUGGUUUUAAUAAAGAAAAUGCAGUACAUUCUUUA